RNAcentral lists this ribosomal RNA (496 nucleotides) under uncultured bacterium. Its description in RNAcentral is "partial 16S ribosomal RNA". It matches the Rfam family "Bacterial small subunit ribosomal RNA", at positions 29 to 507 of the family's 1533-position model. The record is from RNAcentral.
AUGAACGCUGGCGGCGUGCCUAAUACCUGCAAGUCGAGCGAACAGAUGAGGAGCUUGCUCCUCUGACGUUAGCGGCGGACGGGUGAGUAACACGUGGAUAACCUACCUAUAAGACUGGGAUAACUUCGGGAAACCGGAGCUAAUACCGGAUAAUAUAUUGAACCGCAUGGUUCAAUAGUGGAAGACGGUUUUGCUGUCACUUAUAGAUGGAUCCGCGCCGCAUUAGCUAGUUGGUAAGGUAACGGCUUACCAAGGCAACGAUGCGUAGCCGACCUGAGAGGGUGAUCGGCCACACUGGAACUGAGACACGGUCCAGACUCCUACGGGAGGCAGCAGUAGGGAAUCUUCCGCAAUGGGCGAAAGCCUGACGGAGCAACGCCGCGUGAGUGAUGAAGGUCUUCGGAUCGUAAAACUCUGUUAUUAGGGAAGAACAAAUGUGUAAGUAACUAUGCACGUCUUGACGGUACCUAAUCAGAAAGCCACGGCUAACUACGUG